RNAcentral lists this transfer RNA (73 nucleotides) under Ixodes scapularis (black-legged tick). RNAcentral describes it as "tRNA-Thr". It matches the Rfam family "tRNA". From Rfam's summary of the family: Transfer RNA (tRNA) molecules are approximately 80 nucleotides in length. Lineage: Eukaryota; Metazoa; Arthropoda; Arachnida; Ixodida; Ixodidae. The record is from RNAcentral.
UCCUGGUUAGCUCAGUUGGUAGAGCGCUCCACCAGUAAUGGAGAGGUCCCGGGUUCGAUACCCGGACCAGGCG